Molecule: ribosomal RNA, 230 nt
Filed under: uncultured Comamonadaceae bacterium
Lineage: Bacteria; Pseudomonadati; Pseudomonadota; Betaproteobacteria; Burkholderiales; Comamonadaceae
Description: partial 16S ribosomal RNA
Rfam family: Bacterial small subunit ribosomal RNA
Source: RNAcentral
AAACUUAAAGGAAUUGACGGGGACCCGCACAAGCGGUGGAUGAUGUGGUUUAAUUCGAUGCAACGCGAAAACCUUACCCACCUUUGACAUGUACGGAAGUUGCCAGAGAUGGCUUCGUGCUCGCGAGAGAGCCGUAACACAGGUGCUGCAUGGCUGUCGUCAGCUCGUGUCGUGAGAUGUUGGGUUAAGUCCCGCAACGAGCGCAACCCUUGUCAUUAGUUGCCACGCAA